UACGUAGGGGGCUAGCGUUGUCCGGAAUCAUUGGGCGUAAAGCGCGUGUAGGCGGUCCGGUAAGUCCGCUGUGAAAGUCGGGGGCUCAACCCUCGGAUGCCGGUGGAUACUGUCGGGCUUGAGUACGGAAGAGGCGAGUGGAAUUCCUGGUGUAGCGGUGAAAUGCGCAGAUAUCAGGAAGAACACCCGUGGCGAAGGCGGUUCUCUGGGACGGUACUGACGCUGAGACGCGAAAGCGUGGGGAGCGAACAGG
Molecule: ribosomal RNA, 253 nt
Filed under: uncultured bacterium
Lineage: Bacteria
Description: partial 16S ribosomal RNA
Rfam family: Bacterial small subunit ribosomal RNA
Source: RNAcentral